RNAcentral lists this ribosomal RNA (744 nucleotides) under Triticum aestivum (bread wheat). RNAcentral describes it as "partial small subunit ribosomal RNA". The record is from RNAcentral. Lineage: Eukaryota; Viridiplantae; Streptophyta; Magnoliopsida; Poales; Poaceae.
AUGCCAUCUCACAUUAGUGAUACUCACAUUGCAUUGAUUCCUAAAAAGUUAGUUCCACAAAUUCCUUCUGACUAUAGACCGAUAAGCCUUUGCAAUGUCAUCUAUAAGAUCAUUUCCAAAACCUUGGCUAAUAGAAUUAAAUCUCACCUCCCUGACUAUAUCGAUCCAUCUCAACAAGCGUUCAUUGAAGGUAGACGUAUAUCCAACAAUAUCAUUCUAGCCCAAGAAAUCACUCAUCCUUUUGCCCUUAAAUUUUUUAAACAUGAAGCUUUCUUGCUCAAAAUUGACCUUGCUAAAGCUUUUGAUCGCCUUGAAUGGAACUUUAUUGUCUCAGCUCUUGCUCGUAAAGGGUUGCAUGGUCAUUUCAUAAAUUUGGUCUAUGCUUGUAUCUCUUCUCCGAAAUUUUCUGUCUUCAUCAAUGGUCAACCCUUUGCGCAUUUUAGUAGUAACAGAUGUAUUAGACAGGGAUGUCCUUUAUCUCCAUAUUUUGUUCUUGCUAUUAAUGAGCUUUCCUUAAGUUUGCAUCAGUCCAUGAUUCAAAAUCGCUUGUCUGGUAUCUCUCUCGGUCCAAACUGCCCCCCAAUUCACUCCAUGCUCUUUGCCGAUGAUUUGUUAGUCUGUGGCAAGGCCACGGUGCCAGAAGCGAUUCAGAUGGUCCAUCUUAUUAACCAUUUCUGCAGCCGCUCUGCCCAGACCCCGAACUGGGACAAAUCUUCUGUUCUUUUUAGUGCAAAUGUUUCCUGA